AUUAAUUUUACAUAUAUGUAGCAGGUAGGAAAGUAGGUCAUGGGGGUGGGGUCAUCUGCCUAGGUAUAUCAGGUGAUGCAGAUUAGAGGGGGACUAGCCAUUUGGAUGAGUGACGGCCACAUGGUAAUGGAGUGCCACUAGCACAGUGUUUCAGUAUAGUACAGGGGAAUGCAACUGUGAAGCACCAGUGUGUGAAGUCGCCUUCAGUUAAAGAAGAUUUUAAUAGUUUUUUACAAACCGUUUGAUGUGACCAGUAUGCAAGUCUUAUAACCAGCUAUUGCGGUAUGAUUCAAUGUGAAUUGUUUCAGAUUAUGUUAAUGCUUUAGUGUUUGUCACGUGUUAACCGGAUGCAGCGCUCUGUUAUCGCAUUGAGAAGCACUAAGGUGGAGAGACUCAUUCUUUUGUUGUGUUCUUUGUAUUUUGCAUUGUGUAUAUCAUAUUGUAUUUUUAUUUUGUUUAUUUGGUCAUUGGCAAUUGUAUAAUUUACAAUAUUUAUGGUGCAAUUGCACAGAGCAAUGUGCAGUAAUUCCCUUUAAUGUAUAACAGAAGUGUGCCGAUUGCAGUGUAUCAAGCGAAGGUGAUUGAUUUGAUUUGCGCUGUGAUUUCCUGCUUGUGUAUUGGAGUGUAGUGUGUAUUUGGUGUUAUAUUUAAAGGGUUUACGACUUGCCUUGAACGUGUACCUUUCAUUGGAGAGUUAUUUAUUUGCUCUGCUAUGAAUUAAAUAUUUUAAUAUUGUAAAAGUAACAAAGAAUAAAGUUAAAUAUUUUUGUGCACCUGCCUUUGUCCUUUUAAUUAGGAUAUAUCUAUUACCCGCCCACAUACCGUAUUGUUCCUGCUACUGGUAAAUUAAUCGGGCAUUGGUCUGUUUCUGGC
Cyprinus carpio carpio is the source of this 873-nucleotide long non-coding RNA. The record is from Ensembl. NCBI's taxonomy places the organism in Eukaryota, Metazoa, Chordata, Actinopteri, Cypriniformes, Cyprinidae.